RNAcentral lists this transfer RNA (83 nucleotides) under Planomonospora parontospora. Its description in RNAcentral is "tRNA-Ala". RNAcentral also lists the same sequence under 1 other name. Lineage: Bacteria; Bacillati; Actinomycetota; Actinomycetes; Streptosporangiales; Streptosporangiaceae. The record is from RNAcentral.
UCACCGGCUGGUGGACGGCCGACACACAGGCCGAGGGCGACGGCCUCGGCGGCGUGCUCCGGUUCCGGUUCGAGGCCGGCGGG